This 482-nucleotide ribosomal RNA is filed under the name uncultured bacterium. Its description in RNAcentral is "bacterial SSU rRNA". It matches the Rfam family "Bacterial small subunit ribosomal RNA", at positions 30 to 507 of the family's 1533-position model. The record is from RNAcentral.
AUUGAACGCUGGCGGCAUGCCUUACACAUGCAAGUCGAACGGCAGCACGGGAGCAAUCCUGGUGGCGAGUGGCGAACGGGUGAGUAAUAUAUCGGAACGUGCCAGUCGUGGGGGAUAACGUAGCGAAAGCUACGCUAAUACCGCAUACGAUCUAUGGAUGAAAGCGGGGGAUCGCAAGACCUCGCGCGAUUGGAGCGGCCGUUAUCAGAUUAGGUAGUUGGUGAGGUAAAGGCUCACCAAGCCGACGAUCUGUAGCUGGUCUGAGAGGACGACCAGCCACACUGGGACUGAGACACGGCCCAGACUCCUACGGGAGGCAGCAGUGGGAAUUUUGGACAAUGGGCGCAAGCCUGAUCCAGCAAUGCCGCGUGCAGGAUGAAGGCCUUCGGGUUGUAAACUGCUUUUGUACGGAACGAAACGGUGAGCUCUAAUACAGUUUGCUAAUGACGGUACCGUAAGAAUAAGCACCGGCUAACUACGUG